Molecule: non-coding RNA, 2292 nt
Organism: Pelobates cultripes (western spadefoot toad)
Lineage: Eukaryota; Metazoa; Chordata; Amphibia; Anura; Pelobatidae
Source: the annotation of a GenBank genome assembly
GCAGCAGAUUGUGAAUGUAUAUAUAUAUAUAUAUAUAAAAACCAUAAAAAACUCUGGGGGGGGGUGUGCCAAUUACAGGAUUUGCCCCGGGUGCCAAAUACUCUAGGUAUGCCCCUGCUUACGCCUUACUCUAUAGUAGGCAAAACAAACAUAAAAAUAUUACAUUCUGGGGCCUUUACGUCUGUGUGCUAGAAUUUAAUGUCCAGUUUAUUUAACAUCACCCAAUCAAUGUAUCCUUCUUCAUGAAAGAUGAACAGGAAUAAGAUUUAUUUUUAUAUCUUCUCAUGACAUUGGCCUUAAACCUCCCGUACUUUCAAACAUACACAAAUUCCUUCUAACUUGCUUUCACUUUAUCAGCUAUAAUUGUAUAUUCCGUGUCAGUAAACAUUGAAAAAGGUGUGUCACUAUGGCAACAUAAAAAUAUGUUUUUCUCCUAUCAAACAGUGUCUAUUUAAGGGGUUUAAAUUUAACAAUUUCUUACUUUUUGUGUUGGGAUUAAAUGGCUAAUUAUAUAAUAUGGGUAUGUUUUAGGACAUUAUACUAUAAAAGCUCUGGCAUAUGAAUCGAGGUCAAACAUUUCUUUGUUCGAUAUACAGUAUUGCUUGAAUGACAAUGUAAAAGUCAUUCAAGUAGUAAUGUAAAAAAAUGUCAGCCUUUUAUUUUAAACUUAAUGGGACACUGUCAUCAUUUUAAUAUUGUAAUACAAUGUUUAUAAUACAUUCAUGCAUAUUGAGAUUGUGAUCAGUUGCCCACCUUUCCCACUCCCCAUUUCUGACAGCCACCUCUGGGCACUUUUAAUUGGAUUGUCAGUUACCGGAUUCAGUGCUCACAAUUUAGCAAUUGUUUUUACUUUUCAAAAUCGCCUGAUUUUCUUAAAAAAAAUUAAAAUUAAUAAACAUGAAUUUUUAAAAAGAGAUGUAUAAAAUAACAUCACUUAUAUUGAGAUGGUAAAAAGGCAGUAUCAGUGUUCCUUUAAUUUUUCCUCUUAAUCAUGGAUCUCAAGUAAAGCAUCAAGCCUAUUCAUCAGCCAGUGAACGAAGCACUGGAUUUUUUUUAAAUGUAUUACUAUAGAAUUGUUUGCAGAUAUGCAUGAUGACAAGACAUCUGAUGUUAACAUGCAAAAGCACGUUGGGCUGAUGACAUCACAGCACACCUACACUUGCAUCACAACCAUCUAUUAUGUCAUCACACUUAUUUAUAUGUGAAUCUGAUGCUAAAUAGGAGCUGGAUAGGGAAGGAUCUUGCAGACAAUUUCUAGUUAAAGGACCACUCUAGGCACCCAGACCACUUCAGCAUAAUGAAGUGGUCUGGGUGCCAGGUCCCUCUAGGAUUAACCCUUUUUUUUUUAUAAACAUAGCAGUUUCAGAGAAACUGCUAUGUUUAUAAAUGGGUUAAUCCAGCCCUCAGAGCCUCUAGUGGCUGUCUCAUUGACAGCCGCUAGAGGCGCUUGCGUGAUUCUCACUGUUAAAAUCACAAUGAGAACACGCAAGCGUCCAUAGGAAAGCAUUGUAAAUGCUUUCCUAUGAGACCGGCUGAAUGUGCGCGCAGCAUUCUGCCGAAAGGGAGGAGUGGAGGAGGAUCGGAGGCGGAGAGCUCCCCGCCCGGCGCGGGAGAAAAGGUAAGUUUUAACCCUUUCCUCUCCCCAGAGCUGGGCGGGAGGGGGACCCUGAGGGUGGGGGCACCCUCAGGGCAGUAUAGUGCCAGGAAAACUAGUAUGUUUUCCUGGCACUAUAGUGGUCCUUUAACUGAGAAAGAGAAAUUUUAGUAUUGAAGACAAAUUUUUAAAAAACUAUUUUUGCUUACAAUAUGUUUAGCUGUUCACAAACAAAACACUGUUUCUUUAAAUAUUGCUUGUAUGACUUUAUAUGAGGACUGGCUAAGAUAUGUGAAUUGUUUUAUAAUAUAUUUUGUUUGUAUGAUAUUACUACUUUAAUUGUCACUACAUCUUUUGUGCACGUAUAUAAACGCUAAACAUACUUCUAUUAAUGUUAUGCUGUGUGACGAAGUGCCCUUCACCACUUGUGCCUGGAGAGGACUAAUUACCAGCCACAGUGGCGUACACAUGACCCAUGGGGCCCCGGUGCGAAAAUUGAUCCGUGGCCCCCCCCCGCGCGCGGGCCGGGCCGCAACACAUGGCGGUGGGCACCUGGUCGCAGGGGUUACAGGGCUGCGACCCCUGCGACCGCGGUAUGUACGCCAGUGCAUGCAGAUGCACACACACUUAAAGGACCACUCUAGGCACCCAGACCACUUCAGCUUAAUGAAGUGGUCUGGGUGCCAGGUCCAGCUAGG